AGGAAUGUAUAGCAAUAGCUACUUGCAUCAUUGUAAAGAUGAUGCAAGAUCGACUAUGUCGAAUAAAAUUCUAGGUAGAAUUAUGAUAAUGACAUUGUCUGCCUAUGUGUCUUGACCAAAUUACGUGCCAGCAGUCGCGGUAAUACGUAGAAGACUAGUGUUAUUCAUGUUUAAUCGGUUUAAAGGGUACCUAGACGGUAAAUCAAGCUUUCAAAAAAAAAAAGAAUUAAAGGACUAAUUUACUAGAGUUACUUAUGAGGGGGUUUUAAAGUACUGCUGGUGUAGAGAUGAAAUUCUGUCAUACCUUUUUUCAAAAGAAAAAUCAUGGCACAGGUAUAGGCGAAGGCAUCCCCUUAUGUGAUAACUGACGUUGAAGGACGAAGGCUUUGUAUAGCGAACAGGAUUAGAUACCCCAGUAGUCGAAGCAGAAAAUGAUGAAUGUCAUAGAUUAGAUAUAUAAGUUUAUUCUAUAAAUGAAAGUGUAAGCAUUCCACCUCAUGAGUAAUUUGGCAACAUUGGAACUGAAAUCAUUAGACCGUUUCUGAAACCAG
Molecule: ribosomal RNA, 551 nt
Filed under: Montanelia disjuncta
Lineage: Eukaryota; Fungi; Ascomycota; Lecanoromycetes; Lecanorales; Parmeliaceae
Description: SSU rRNA
Rfam family: Bacterial small subunit ribosomal RNA
Source: RNAcentral